GAGUAAUGUCUGGGAAACUGCCCGGUGGAGGGGGAUAACUACUGGAAACGGUAGCUAAUACCGCAUAACGUCGCAAGACCAAAGAGGGGGACCUUCGGGCCUCUUGCCACCGGAUGUGCCCAGAUGGGAUUAGCUUGUUGGUGAGGUAACGGCUCACCAAGGCGACGAUCCCUAGCUGGUCUGAGAGGAUGACCAGCCACACUGGAACUGAGACACGGUCCAGACUCCUACGGGAGGCAGCAGUGGGGAAUAUUGCACAAUGGGCGCAAGCCUGAUGCAGCCAUGCCGCGUGUAUGAAGAAGGCCUUCGGGUUGUAAAGU
Molecule: ribosomal RNA, 320 nt
Filed under: Citrobacter sedlakii
Lineage: Bacteria; Pseudomonadati; Pseudomonadota; Gammaproteobacteria; Enterobacterales; Enterobacteriaceae
Description: bacterial SSU rRNA
Rfam family: Bacterial small subunit ribosomal RNA
Source: RNAcentral